Oncorhynchus keta (chum salmon) is the source of this 277-nucleotide long non-coding RNA. RefSeq lists it as uncharacterized. The transcript is spliced from 3 exons. Lineage: Eukaryota; Metazoa; Chordata; Actinopteri; Salmoniformes; Salmonidae. The record is from RefSeq and is a predicted model, not a curated record.
CGCUUCUGACCUGGGAAAAUUAGAAAUCAAUCAACUUCAUUGACAUUGUGUACUUCCGGGGACCUGUAUGACAUCACCAUGACAACCCUGUUAUGACCGUAACAGGGUCAGAAAUGGCCAAUGAGAUGCUGCCCUGCUCCGAGACAGGGCUGCAGUGUCCAUGCUGUACAAAUUGACCAGGUGGGAUUGAGAGGGAGGUGUCUCCAUGGUGAUGUGGCUUCAGUGUUCCAUCUGUCUCUGGAUCUUCCUCUGGCCUUCAGCAGGGUGUCUCUCCCCC